Molecule: long non-coding RNA, 334 nt
Filed under: Musa acuminata (dwarf banana)
Lineage: Eukaryota; Viridiplantae; Streptophyta; Magnoliopsida; Zingiberales; Musaceae
Description: long non-coding RNA (MACU_LNC003318)
Source: RNAcentral
UCUAGGAUGACGAGGACAUUUAGUCCUCCUACUUCAUUUGCUUUUGAUUAAUUAAGUGCGAUAAAAGGGUUGAUCGGGGAUAUUAAAUCAGAGUGGCACAAUAGAAGCGUGGUGAACCUAAUACAUUGGUAGCAGAAAAAUAGAUGAUGCGAUUGGAGAAGAUAUUUUAUGUACGAAAUUGUUCUGAUGAUCAAAAGAAUUUCUUGAGAUCAAGAACAGGAAUAGCAAGGACAAGUUUACUAAAAAAAAAAAAAAGAUUAGAAAUGAAUUAGAAUGUGAUAACAGGAGGGUCAAGACAUCAUCGAUUUGAAAAGGGAAGUCACCACAAAAAAAA